Molecule: ribosomal RNA, 251 nt
Filed under: uncultured Lactobacillus sp.
Lineage: Bacteria; Bacillati; Bacillota; Bacilli; Lactobacillales; Lactobacillaceae
Description: partial 16S ribosomal RNA
Rfam family: Bacterial small subunit ribosomal RNA
Source: RNAcentral
AACACGUGGGGAACCUGCCCCAUAGUCUGGGAUACCACUUGGAAACAGGUGCUAAUACCGGAUAAGAAAGCGGAUCGCAUGAUCAGCUUUUAAAAGGCGGCGUAAGCUGUCGCUAUGGGAUGGCCCCGCGGUGCAUUAGCUAGUUGGUAAGGUAAAGGCUUACCAAGGCGAUGAUGCAUAGCCGAGUUGAGAGACUGAUCGGCCACAUUGGGACUGAGACACGGCCCAAACUCCUACGGGAGGCAGCAGUA